AAAGGGUAAACUUACAGCUGAAAGGUGAGGUAUUCGAGUUGCUGCUUUAUCCCGAGGAAGUUCCGUUUCAAAUGGGCACUUGUGCCCCGUGUGGCGAAAGGGAAGCCGGUUAACAUUCCGGCACCUGGAUGUGGGUUUUGCGCGGCAACGCAACUGAACGUGGAGACGACGGCGGGGCCCCGGGCAGAGUUCUCUUUUCUUCUUAACGAUCUAUCACCCUGAAAACAGUUUGUCUGGAGAUAGGGUUUAAUGGUCGGAAGAGCCCGACACUUCUGUCGGGUCCGGUGCGCUCUCGACGUCCCUUGAAAAUCCGCGGGAGGGAAUAAUUCUCACGCCAGGUCGUACUCAUAACCUCACCAUGG
RNAcentral lists this non-coding RNA (362 nucleotides) under Sordaria macrospora k-hell. Its description in RNAcentral is "Eukaryotic large subunit ribosomal RNA". It matches the Rfam family "Eukaryotic large subunit ribosomal RNA", at positions 1502 to 1863 of the family's 3401-position model. The record is from Rfam by way of RNAcentral. Lineage: Eukaryota; Fungi; Ascomycota; Sordariomycetes; Sordariales; Sordariaceae.